ACUGAACCGGGAUGAGCCCAGCGCAUAAGCUCGUGCCCUUAACCGGGCAUCGAGCGGUGUUGCGUUUCGGAGGGUCCAGCACGCCGUCCCAUACCGCCUAAGUCAAGUUUGGAACGCGGCCACUACCCAUGGAGGGUGAGAGGCCCGUGUGGCGGCGACCCGCGAGGGUACUUUUGGGGCGGUCGGAAAGGGCCUCUCCGUAGAGUCGGGUUGCUUGAAAGUGCAGCCCUAAGUAGGUGGUAAACUCCAUCUAAGGCUAAAUAUGACCACGAGACCGAUAGCGAACAAGUACCGUGAGGGAAAGUUGAAAAGAACUUUGUAGAGAGAGUUCAAGAGUACGUGAAACCGUCAAGAGCCAAAACGGGUGGAGGCUCGAAGGUCGAACUGAGGGGAUUCAGCUCGUCGGCUGGUGCUGGCUGGCAGGAGAUGUCACGGUGCGACCCUGUUUACGGGCGUCCCUUCUGUCACGCUGGCGUCGGCGGGUGUAAUUCGCCUCGUAGUAGGUCGCCGCGACCCGUUGCUGGGGACGUCGAAGGCCCGAAUGGAUUGGUACCCCGCCGCGCUCGCUGGCGUUCCCUCGUCAGCAAUAGGUGAGGGGGAAACCGUCGGUGUCCUGGCUGCCCUGCGACGGUCGAUGAGACCCUCUUUUGGGUCUCUCGCGGCGUGCAAAAGGUCGGCGCUCUACCCGUCCCGUCUUGAAACACGGGCCAAGGAGUCCAACAUGUGUGCGAGUCAUUGGGCGAACUAAACCUAAAGGCGAAAUGAAAGUGAGAAGGCUUUUGCUGGCAGGGAGGCAGGCAGGCAGGCAGGUUCUCCUACCUACUACUACUUCCUCCAUCUUAAGCCAGGGCCCGAUCCCCGACCGGCUGCCCCCGGCAUCCUCACGUCCCGUCACGCGGGGUGAGUCACUUUCCUCCGUCUCUGCUGCGGCGGCGAGGGUGUCGAUGUGGCGAUGGUCUGUAGAAACCUGUUCGCAGGGGGGCGCAGGGCCGGGACUUGCCACCUGACGCCGCUCGUUUCCUCACCCGUUGGGGGGGCGAGCGUACUACUAGUCGGUAAGUACCAUGAGCAGGCAUGUUGGGACCCGAAAGAUGGUGAACUAUGCCUGGCCAGGAUGAAGCCAGAGGAAACUCUGGUGGAGGUCCGUAGCGAUUCUGACGUGCAAAUCGAUCGUCAGAGCUGGGUAUAGGGGCGAAAGACUAAUCGAACCAUCUAGUAGCUGGUUCCCUCCGAAGUUUCCCUCAGGAUAGCUGGAACUCGCACACCAAUGAAUUUCAUCCGGUAAAGCGAAUGAUUAGAGGUCUUGGGGACGAAACGUCCUCAACCUAUUCUCAAACUUUAAAUGGGUGAGAUGCCGAGCUUGCUUAAAAGCUGAAGCUUCGGCGACGAAUCAGAGUUCCUAGUGGGCCACUUUUGGUAAGCAGAACUGGCGCUGUGGGAUGAACCAAACGUCGAGUUAAGGGGCCUAAAUGAAUGCUCAUACAGAUCCCAUCAAAAGGUGUUGGUUGCUAUAGACAGCAGGACGGUGGCCAUGGAAGUUGGAAUCCGCUAAGGAGUGUGUAACAACUCACCUGCCGAAGCAACUAGCCCUUAAAAUGGUAUGGCGCUCAAGCAUUCUCCCGAUACUCGACCGCCGGGGCACUACCGGCCUGGCUGAUGGCGGCCUUCUGGGUCUCUCCUCUUCAGGUCUCGAAGCCCCGGUGAGUAGGAGGGUCGCGGUGGUGAGCGUAGAAGGGUAUGGCGUGAGCCGGCCUGGAGCCUCCACUGGUGCAGAUCUUGGUGGUAGUAGCAAAUAGUCGAGAGAGACUCCCUUGAAGGCCGAAGUGGGGAAGGGUUCCAUGUGAACAUCAGUUGGACAUGGGUUAGUCGCCCCUAAGCCCAAGGCGAAAGCCUGGUCCCACGCUAGAGGCAACGACCGCUCGAGACUGUAUACAGUACGGGACCGUCUUGGUCGUCGUAUUUGUGGUAGUCGGUAGUGACGAUACUGCUGGGCCAGUACCACCUUCCAAUGUCAAUGGCUUGGGUUCAUUGGCGGCCCACGGUGAGUUGCCAGUUGGGAUUAGUGGCGAAAGGGAAUACGGUCAUUAUUCCGUAACCAGGACCCGGAUGCCAAUCAGGUGUAAGCGCCCUUGCCCUCUGGGCAGGGGAAUGCUGCCCUGUGCAGGAGCCCGGUAACGGGAACCAGCUCGCGUCCGUCGGCGGUGGUCCGGGAAAGAGUCUCUUUUCUGUUAAGCGCCGUGACCUAGAUCA
This 2250-nucleotide ribosomal RNA is filed under the name Linuparus trigonus. RNAcentral's name for it is "eukaryotic LSU rRNA". It matches the Rfam family "Eukaryotic large subunit ribosomal RNA", at positions 92 to 1723 of the family's 3401-position model. The record is from RNAcentral. Lineage: Eukaryota; Metazoa; Arthropoda; Malacostraca; Decapoda; Palinuridae.